RNAcentral lists this microRNA precursor (62 nucleotides) under Alligator mississippiensis (American alligator). Its description in RNAcentral is "Ami-Mir-1677-o3_pre stem-loop". The record is from RNAcentral. Lineage: Eukaryota; Metazoa; Chordata; Crocodylia; Alligatoridae.
GGUCCAAUGCUCAUUGAAGUCAUGGAGAAUCUUUACACUGACUUCACUGAGCUUUGGACCAG